AAAAAAUUAAGGACUAUAUGUUGUACUGUGAUAAUGCUAAAAAAAUGUAUUUUUCUGUAUGCAGUACUGACAGUCAUCAACAUGGAAGCUAUGUUUUGUUCCUAACCAUCUAUAAUUAAUUCUCUAUGAAGUUCAGACAGUCUGCUCUUCCUUUGGAAAUACACAGUUAGUCAACCAACAAAGAAACACACAAAACUUGAAGGAUUCUCUAGUGAGGGCUUAUGGAAAUGAUCUAUGUCUACUCUCAGAAUGGUGAAAGACUAUCAGAUUAAGCAAAGACUAACAGAAUAUCCUUUCUUGGAACACUGAAACAAGAAAAUCAAACAGGAUGGGAGAUUCAAGAAGAACAUAGAUAAAUAUGAUUUCCAA
Saccostrea cuccullata (small rock oyster) is the source of this 369-nucleotide long non-coding RNA. RefSeq lists it as uncharacterized. Lineage: Eukaryota; Metazoa; Mollusca; Bivalvia; Ostreida; Ostreidae. The transcript has 3 exons. The record is from RefSeq and is a predicted model, not a curated record.